This is a long non-coding RNA of Cucumis melo (muskmelon), 1320 nucleotides long. RefSeq lists it as uncharacterized. The transcript has 2 exons. NCBI's taxonomy places the organism in Eukaryota, Viridiplantae, Streptophyta, Magnoliopsida, Cucurbitales, Cucurbitaceae. The record is from RefSeq and is a predicted model, not a curated record.
UCUAAUUCAAAAAACAAACUUGUUUCAUCUUUCUGGUAAUGUGUAAAGAAAAAGAUGCACAUCAAACAUUCAAGAGGAUGAUGCAUUACACAGGCCAUUGCAGAUAACAAGAUUUAUAGACCUUCAGAACAUACAAAGAACAGAACUUGAUCUUAUGCUCGAAGAGACAUGUUUGAGGUUCGAUUAAUUCAAAUCUUGGAGCAGAAAACUUGUAUAUGUUCGCCUAAGAUAGCAUUUGCUAAAUGCUGUCUCACCGAAUGGUGUUGUUCUAAGUUCUCGCCACUCAAAGCCAUAUACGAAUGGCAUAAAGACCAUUUUAACAACUGCACAGAAAGACUCUUAACGCAAUGUGGUUGGUUAAUCACUCUGUUUUUCAUAUGAACCUGCGUUAGAUUAUUAGAAUCAAUCUCUUGGGAGUAGGCCCUUUGUAGUUUUUUAAGGACAAACGAAGAAAUCGUGGUGUCAUAUUCGUACCUUCUCCAACUUCUCGAACGAAUCAGCUCGGAGAGGAACCCAUCCAUGUACGGCCUCACCGGCAGCACUACUAAGCCAAGAGGGCCAGCCGGCGGCAAUCUGCUCAGCUUCAACGUAGCGUUGAGAAAACCCUAAUCUGAAAGAACCCCCCUUGCCUCCUUUAGAUUUCUUAAUAUCUCGACUUCGAUCCUCCGAUUUGUCCUCCCCUUUCUUCUCAUAAUCAAGCGUCGCCACGGAAUGAGCUUUGGAUAAAGGCGGCAGGGUCACGACAGAACCAUUCUCGGCGGCAACGGUGGCGGUUGUAGUGGUGGUCGGUUUAUUGGGUUUGGUCCGAUGAUGAUGAUGGUUAUAAACAGGUGAUGCCGCCGCCUUAGCUACGUGCUUGGAGCUAAUGCAACCCAUGAACCACCAAAUCCCGACAGCAUCGAUCGGAGAAACGACACAAGGGCGAUCAAGAUCAACCCUGAUCAGGAAAUGGGCUGCUCGGCACAAAGCGGAAGAGGGGGGGAUCGAACCCCUACAUCCAACGGCAACUCAAAAGGGUCUGCUGGAUUAUCUGAGGAUGUAAAAAAAGAAGAGAAAAUGGAUUGAACCCAUCUGAAAUGAGAGCCAUUUUUGGGUUUAACUUGUUGGCUGGCAACACAAUGACCUCGUGUUCUUCAUACUGCGAGAUCUGCAGUAUGAAGAAUUGGCCAAAUAGUUUCUUUUUUUUUUGUAAGAAACGGUCCGAAAGCAGAGGAACGAAAAGAAAGAGAAACAUUGUGGGUCCUAACUGCCUUCUUCUUCCUUUUCUCUGCUUUUUUUGUUAUCUAUACCGUUUUUAAUUUCAUCUUUUCUUUUUCUCUC